UGAACGGCUGUGAAGAUGACACAAAAAAGCUAAGCUAUAUUUAUAAUAUUAAAAGUAUAUAGAAAUCCUUGAAAAAACUGGUGAACGGCUUUGUCUUGUGCCAGCCGUUCGUUUAUGUGUUCCAUCCUUGUCUAGGGGAGUGCUAACUUGCUCUCCUUCCAAACAACACGAUAAUGCUCGACGGGCAACGCGCUUAUAUACGUCCGUAUCUGCGAAAAAAUACUUGGGAAUUCU
Molecule: long non-coding RNA, 234 nt
Filed under: Drosophila guanche
Lineage: Eukaryota; Metazoa; Arthropoda; Insecta; Diptera; Drosophilidae
Source: RNAcentral